CAAAAGGCCACACUUAUCAGU
This 21-nucleotide non-coding RNA is filed under the name Arabidopsis thaliana (thale cress). The record is from RNAcentral. Lineage: Eukaryota; Viridiplantae; Streptophyta; Magnoliopsida; Brassicales; Brassicaceae.